ACAGACAGCAGGGGUGGUAACUGGGUCUGCUCUGUUUCAGUGCCGGGGCAGGACGGACAGGGACCUUUUGUGCCUUGAGCACAGUCCUGGAGCGCGUGAAAGCAGAAGGAAUUUUGGAUGUCUUCCAAACGGUCAAGAGCCUGCGGCUGCAGAGGCCACACAUGGUCCAGACACUGGAACAGUAUGAAUUCUGCUACAAGGUGGUACAGGAGUACAUCGAUGCCUUCUCAGAUUAUGCCAACUUCAAGUGACAGGGGACAAGGCCCACAGACAGGAGAAUUGCCUUUAAUAUUUUGUAAUAUUCUGUUUUGUUAAUAUACCCAAAAUUGUAUAUAUCUUAUAACUGUUUUAGAAAUGGCACAUAGGCUUCUAUUACCUAUUAGGUGGAGAUUUUGUAUGUAAAUGUGUUAGCACUGUAGUCCUUUUCCAGUGUUUUAUUGGGGAAUUAAAUAGUGUGAUAUUUGAGUUGAUUUAAUGAAGUCCUCAGCCUGGAAAUUGGGCCAGAUUAUUCUUUGCUUCAAAUGUCUUUUUCUAAAGAAGACAAACAUAAGAGUCAUUCCAGGUAACUCGGUGCCAACUAAAACAAAGCACAACGUUCUCGGAGCUCUUGAGGAAAUGGUUGUCUCACCGUCCCCAGGCCGGCCUCUUCCCCUCCCCGUCCUGUAAAUAUCCCUCCCCUCUCCAGUCCACCCUCAUCUCCCACCAAUAUCAGCCACCUCAGGCGUGGGGAAUAAUGAGAGCAGAGCAGCAUCCCUGGCACCACACUAGGAAUCAUCAGGUAAUAAACACUCUUGAUUCCCGGA
Rattus rattus (black rat) is the source of this 803-nucleotide long non-coding RNA. RefSeq lists it as uncharacterized. NCBI's taxonomy places the organism in Eukaryota, Metazoa, Chordata, Mammalia, Rodentia, Muridae. The transcript has 2 exons. The record is from RefSeq and is a predicted model, not a curated record.